Molecule: ribosomal RNA, 271 nt
Filed under: uncultured bacterium
Lineage: Bacteria
Description: partial 16S ribosomal RNA
Rfam family: Bacterial small subunit ribosomal RNA
Source: RNAcentral
UACGUAGGGUGCAGGCGUUAAUCGGAAUUACUGGGCGUAAAGCGUGCGCAGGCGGCUUCCUAAGUCAGAUGUGAAAUCCCCGGGCUUAACCUGGGAACUGCGUUUGAAACUGGGAGGCUAGAGUGCGGCAGAGGGAGGUGGAAUUCCACGUGUAGCAGUGAAAUGCGUAGAUAUGUGGAGGAACACCGAUGGCGAAGGCAGCCUCCUGGGCCAGCACUGACGCUCAUGCACGAAAGCGUGGGGAGCAAACAGGAUUAGAAACCCGUGUAGU